RNAcentral lists this ribosomal RNA (1054 nucleotides) under uncultured Propionibacterium sp. RNAcentral's name for it is "bacterial SSU rRNA". It matches the Rfam family "Bacterial small subunit ribosomal RNA", at positions 332 to 1394 of the family's 1533-position model. The record is from RNAcentral. Lineage: Bacteria; Bacillati; Actinomycetota; Actinomycetes; Propionibacteriales; Propionibacteriaceae.
CAGAUUCCUACGGGAGGCAGCAGUGGGGAAUAUUGCACAAUGGGCGGAAGCCUGAUGCAGCAACGCCGCGUGCGGGAUGACGGCCUUCGGGUUGUAAACCGCUUUCGCCUGUGACGAAGCGUGAGUGACGGUAAUGGGUAAAGAAGCACCGGCUAACUACGUGCCAGCAGCCGCGGUGAUACGUAGGGUGCGAGCGUUGUCCGGAUUUAUUGGGCGUAAAGGGCUCGCAGGUGGUUGAUCGCGUCGGAAGUGUAAUCUUGGGGCUUAACCCUGAGCGUGCUUUCGAUACGGGUUGACUUGAGGAAGGUAGGGGAGAAUGGAAUUCCUGGUGGAGCGGUGGAAUGCGCAGAUAUCAGGAGGAACACCAGUGGCGAAGGCGGUUCUCUGGGCCUUUCCUGACGCUGAGGAGCGAAAGCGUGGGGAGCGAACAGGCUUAGAUACCCUGGUAGUCCACGCUGUAAACGGUGGGUACUAGGUGUGGGGUCCAUUCCACGGGUUCCGUGCCGUAGCUAACGCUUUAAGUACCCCGCCUGGGGAGUACGGCCGCAAGGCCAAAACUCAAAGGAAUUGACGGGGCCCCGCACAAGCGGCGGAGCAUGCGGAUUAAUUCGAUGCAACGCGUAGAACCUUACCUGGGUUUGACAUGGAUCGGGAGCGCUCAGAGAUGGGUGUGCCUCUUUUGGGGUCGGUUCACAGGUGGUGCAUGGCUGUCGUCAGCUCGUGUCGUGAGAUGUUGGGUUAAGUCCCGCAACGAGCGCAACCCUUGUUCACUGUUGCCAGCACGUUAUGGUGGGGACUCAGUGGAGACCGCCGGGGUCAACUCGGAGGAAGGUGGGGAUGACGUCAAGUCAUCAUGCCCCUUAUGUCCAGGGCUUCACGCAUGCUACAAUGGCUGGUACAGAGAGUGGCGAGCCUGUGAGGGUGGGCGAAUCUCGGAAAGCCGGUCUCAGUUCGGAUUGGGGUCUGCAACUCGACCUCAUGAAGUCGGAGUCGCUAGUAAUCGCAGAUCAGCAACGCUGCGGUGAAUACGUUCCCGGGCCUUGUACACACCGCC